CGUCCAGACUCCUACGGGAGGCAGCAGUGGGGAAUAUUGGACAAUGGGGGGAACCCUGAUCCAGCGACGCCGCGUGAGUGAAGAAGUAUUUCGGUAUGUAAAGCUCUAUCAGCAGGGAAGAAAAUGACGGUACCUGACUAAGAAGCCCCGGCUAACUACGUGCCAGCAGCCGCGGUAAUACGUAGGGGGCAAGCGUUAUCCGGAUUCACUGGGUGUAAAGGGGGCGCAGACGGCGAUGCAAGCCAGGAGUGAAAGCCCGGGGCCCAACCCCGGGACUGCUCUUGGAACUGCGUGGCUGGAGUGCGGGAGGGGCAGGCGGAAUUCCUGGUGUAGCGGUGAAAUGCGUAGAUAUCAGGAGGAACACCGGCGACGAAGGCGGCCUGCUGGACCGCGACUGACGUUGAGGCUCGAAAGCGUGGGGAGCGAACAGGAUUAGAUACCCUAGUA
Molecule: ribosomal RNA, 447 nt
Filed under: uncultured bacterium
Lineage: Bacteria
Description: bacterial SSU rRNA
Rfam family: Bacterial small subunit ribosomal RNA
Source: RNAcentral